Helicoverpa zea (corn earworm) is the source of this 1019-nucleotide long non-coding RNA. RefSeq lists it as uncharacterized. NCBI's taxonomy places the organism in Eukaryota, Metazoa, Arthropoda, Insecta, Lepidoptera, Noctuidae. The transcript is spliced from 2 exons. The record is from RefSeq and is a predicted model, not a curated record.
AAAUAAAAAAAAUAGAAUAAUAAUUAAAAAAAAAAAGUAAUAAAAGGUUGUGCCAAAUAGGUCCAGUUCAGCAUUAUGCCAGACAGCUAGUGUCUGACGCUGGUUUUCAACUGGACCUAUGAGGAGUUGCGGGUGUCGAUCGGUAUGAAAUCAUUUAUGCUCUAAAGACAAAAAAUAAUAAAACUACUAAACUACUAAAAAUAACUAAAAAAAUAAAUAAAAAAAGGAACCAUAAUCAUAAUCAGAAGGAUUAGUCACAAAAAUAAAAUAAAAAGUGGAGGUAAACGUAAAUAAAUUCAUACCGUGACUAAUCGCAAUCCUGACUAAGCAUCACUCAGCGACGACUUUUUUCACACAGAUGAAAUGUGGUGUUAAACACAUUCACAGAGCCGUAACUGGUUGCAACAUCUGUUUUCAUUGUGCCACCGAUCAUUGCCGACAUAUAUUAGUGCAAAAUAAGCAAUUAUAAGUUGUGCAAACUCGUAAAAUACAAUUUUUACAUAGCUGUUAGUUGCCAGCAGUCCACAUUGAGUGAGUAUAUUUUACAGUAAUUUUUUUUCCCGUAUACGUGCAUACAAUAUGUUUUAUUAUAUAUUAAUUUUACAUUUCAGGUACCUACCCUAUGUUCUUGAGAAGAAAAAAAAAAUGCAUAUUAAGUAAUCAUAUCAUUCAGGCGAAGGUACAUAAGACGUUUGCAAGUGCAAAGUUCACUUCCCUGUACAAAAAUGAUCACCGUGCACCAUGUACACGCCGUAGGGUGCACCUAUUGCCAGAAGGCCAUACCCACAAGGCCUCCAGACAUGGCGCACCCAUAACGCAUCAUGGCCGGUGACCCAAGAGAGACCAGGAAUACUCAAUUUAAGCUGUGAGAAUACACUACACACAUUACAUACACAUUAGCCUCACGCAUUGUCAUAAAACUACAGUAGUAUGCUAAGUGGGCGAUAUAAAUAAGAUUUAUAUCCGUUUCUUAUUGAUAUAAUUUAAAAUUUAGAUAAUAGAAAUAUUUGCCUUCGUCA